This 520-nucleotide ribosomal RNA is filed under the name uncultured bacterium. Its description in RNAcentral is "partial 16S ribosomal RNA". It matches the Rfam family "Bacterial small subunit ribosomal RNA", at positions 355 to 868 of the family's 1533-position model. The record is from RNAcentral.
UGGGGAAUUUUGGACAAUGGGCGAAAGCCUGAUCCAGCAAUGCCGCGUGUGUGAAGAAGGCCUUCGGGUUGUAAAGCACUUUUGUCCGGAAAGAAAUCCUUGGCUCUAAUACAGUCGGGGGAUGACGGUACCGGAAGAAUAAGCACCGGCUAACUACGUGCCAGCAGCCGCGGUAAUACGUAGGGUGCAAGCGUUAAUCGGAAUUACUGGGCGUAAAGCGUGCGCAGGCGGUUUGCUAAGACCGAUGUGAAAUCCCCGGGCUCAACCUGGGAACUGCAUUGGUGACUGGGCAGGCUAGAGUAUGGCAGAGGGGGGUAGAAUUCCACGUGUAGCAGUGAAAUGCGUAGAGAUGUGGAGGAAUACCGAUGGCGAAGGCAGCCCCCUGGGCCAAUACUGACGCUCAUGCACGAAAGCGUGGGGAGCAAACAGGAUUAGAUACCCUGGUAGUCCACGCCCUAAACGAUGUCAACUAGUUGUUGGGGAUUCAUUCCUUAGUAACGUAGCUAACGCGUGAAGUUGC